UUAAGUUCAGCGGGUAUCCCUACCCGAUCCGAGGUCAACCUGUGAUAAAAUGGUUUAACGGCGUGCCGGCCGCCCACCCGAGCGAGAGGAAGUACAUUCUCACGACGCAGGGAUGAGUUUCAGACCACAGCCGAAUUUCAAUGGAGGCGCGGGUUGACCCGACGCCCAAUACCAAGCCAGGCUUGAGUGGUGUAAUGACG
This 200-nucleotide unclassified non-coding RNA is filed under the name Capnobotryella sp. Its description in RNAcentral is "partial internal transcribed spacer 2". Lineage: Eukaryota; Fungi; Ascomycota; Dothideomycetes; Mycosphaerellales; Teratosphaeriaceae. The record is from RNAcentral.